RNAcentral lists this unclassified non-coding RNA (500 nucleotides) under uncultured Glomus. Its description in RNAcentral is "SSU rRNA". It matches the Rfam family "Eukaryotic small subunit ribosomal RNA", at positions 569 to 1078 of the family's 1831-position model. The record is from RNAcentral. Lineage: Eukaryota; Fungi; Glomeromycota; Glomeromycetes; Glomerales; Glomeraceae.
AGCAGCCGCGGUAAUUCCAGCUCCAAUAGCGUAUAUUAAAGUUGUUGCAGUUAAAAGCUCGUAGUUGAAUUUCGGGAUCAAUAUGUUGGUCGUGCCUCGGUACGUACUAGCAUAUUGGUUUCUCCUUUCUGAAGAACCAUGAUGUCAUUUAUUUGGUGUCGUGGGGAAUCAGGACUGUUACUUUGAAAAAUUAGAGUGUUUAAAGCAGGCUCACGCUUGAAUACAUUAGCAUGGAAUAAUGAAAUAGGACGUUUGAUUCUAUUUUGUUGGUUUCUAGGAUCGACGUAAUGAUUAAUAGGGAUAGUUGGGGGCAUUAGUAUUCAAUUGUCAGAGGUGAAAUUCUUGGAUUUAUUGAAGACUAACUACUGCGAAAGCAUUUGCCAAGGAUGUUUUCAUUAAUCAAGAACGAAAGUUAGGGGAUCGAAGACGAUCAGAUACCGUCGUAGUCUUAACCAUAAACUAUGCCGACUAGGGAUCGGAUGAUGUUAAUUUUUAAUGUA